CACCACCUUCCUCCGGUAAACUUGUACCAUCAACACCUUCCCCAACAGCUCCAACAAUCACCGCACUUUCUCUCCUCUUAACCACAAAGGUUGUUGAAAUUUGAUCUUUUCUCAAACACUUGGUGGGCAGACCAACAAUAGGAUAAAAAUGUGUUCUUGAAACUGAUACAAGACACCCAACAACAUAAAUAGACACAACAAAUGUUUAAGGCAAAUGGGUCAAAGAAAAUGUUUAAUUCAUGACAAAAUUAUUAACAAUCUCAGUUACCUAUUAUUGGUUAAAGUGAAACUACUAUAAUCAUGUUAAUGUAAUUCAAAUCACUCUAUAUAGAAUUGAAAUGAUACCAACUUACAUGGGGUGGUGGCAAUGGUGAGAAUAGAGGAAGAUGAAGAAGAUGGGAGUGGAGAAUGGAGUGAGAAGGAAUUGAAGCAAAGAAGAGACAUGUUGUAACUCUUAGAGUGUUCUUGUUUGUAAUGUUAUCAUGUUAGAAUAAGAUUGGAUUUGGUUUUCUCUUUUCAGAUAAGCCACAUGGCCCCUCCACACACUUAUUGUCUCACCCUUUCACUAUUUCUCUUCCUUGGUAAUUAAGGAGUGUUUGGAUUAAUUUCUAGUAUGAAAAAAAAUGGAUAACUAGAAUUUUAAUAAAGUGAUUUAAUUAUUUGGAGAUUAAUUUUUAUAUGCUAUUAAAGUUUUUAUUUUUAAAUCAUUAGUCAAACACAUCUUUAUAUAUAGAUCAUCAUUUGUGUUCGAAAUAUUUCAAUAUUUUAGAAGUUACAUAAAUCUUAAUUAUAUCAUUUGUUGAUGAUGUAAAUUAAUCUUUAAUUUUUAUAUUAAUGGAGAAUCAAAUUAAAAUAAAAACUUUACCCUAUGUUUGAGGGUUUAUGAUAUACUUUUUGGAGUGAGGAUCAUCUUCAAUAUUGAAGAGAAAAUUAUUUUAAAAGCAAAAUAAAUAAAUAAUAUGAUAUAACACUUUUAUCCUCAAAAUAUAAUGAGUUGACACUUUUAUCCUUAAGAAUAAAAGCAAAAUGAAUAACUUCCAUCUUUAGUGCGGGAGAGGAUUCUGAUUCACUUUUUUAUUUUAUUUUGUUUUUUAUAUUAAUCUCCAACAUGAACAAUACUUCAUUUAAAGGAUGGAAGGUAACCACAUUGAGGUUCAACCAUAAACUUCGUACCUUUUAAUGAAUACACAAUGAUAAACAAUUGUCUUCUUGAAACUGUAUUUGGUCAUGAAGGAUUCAAACUUCUUUACCAUUAUCUUGGGGCUUGCUUCAGACCAUAUAACUCUUAUUCAAACGACACGUUAAGUGUUCCUUGCUUGAUUCUUCAUAACCUUCUGGUUGCUCCAUAUAGAUUUCUUCUUUGAUGUCUCCAUGUAAGAAAGUUAUUUUGACAUCAAGUUGUUCAACUUCUAAGUCUAGGCUAGCAACUAGACCCAAUGCUACUCUUAUGGAGGAAUACUUCACCAUUAUUGGUGAGAAUAUCUCAUCAAAAUCAUCUCUUUUCUUCUGAUUACAUCCUUUCACAAUAAUUCGAGCUUUGUACUGUAUUCUUGAGCUUCCUUCUUCAACUUUAAGCCUAUAAACCCAUUUGUUUUUCAAGGCUUUUCUUCCUUUUGGCAACUCCACCAGAUCAUAAGUGUGGUUCUCAUGUAACGAGUUCAUCCCAUCUUCUAUGGCUUUAAUCAUUCUUCUUUAUCAGUUGUCUGCAUAGCUUCUAAGAAGUCUCGAGGUUCACCAUUAUCCGUCAAUGUGAUAUGUUCUUCUCCAGGAUACUUUAAAGAAGGUACUCUGUGAUCGAGGUCGUACCCGAUACAAAUAAUAUAACAAUUAAAAUUGUAGUACUAGGAAGUAACUCCUAGGUCGUUUUCCAAUGAUUAUCUUUCAAGCAAAGCUUCAAACACCUUAUACUCACACACACACAAGGGGUUUUUGUUGUUGUUGGAUAGUAUGAACAUAAACCAAAUUCAGAAACAGUAGUUAAGCAAUGUAAUAAAACGACUAAAUCCCUUUGGUUCGUUUGUUCACAACUCAAUCCUCGGUUUCAAAAGAUUAUUUUUAGAUUCCAACCAUUAACUUCCGAACUUGUUGAGAAUCAAUUAACUAACAAGCCUUUUCCUUCUCAGCCUUAUCUUCUUGGCCAACUUCAUCCUCAGCCUCUGCUCUUCCCUCUCCUUGAGCUUCGAUUCCAACGGAAGCUUAUCAACCGAAACAACCUCAUUCGCAGCAGCAGGAACAGCUGACACCGACCCACCACCUUCCUCCGGUAAACUUGUACCAUCAACACCUUCCCCAACAGCUCCAACAAUCACCGCACUUUCUCUCCUCUUAACCACAAAGGUUGUUGAAAUUUGAUCUUUUCUCAAACACUUGGUGGGCAGACCAACAAUAGGAUAAAAAUGUGUUCUUGAAACUGAUACAAGACACCCAACAACAUAAAUAGACACAACAAAUGUUUAAGGCAAAUGGGUCAAAGAAAAUGUUUAAUUCAUGACAAAAUUAUUAACAAUCUCAGUUACCUAUUAUUGGUUAAAGUGAAACUACUAUAAUCAUGUUAAUGUAAUUCAAAUCACUCUAUAUAGAAUUGAAAU
This 2588-nucleotide long non-coding RNA is filed under the name Lupinus angustifolius (narrow-leaved blue lupine). RNAcentral's name for it is "long non-coding RNA (LANG_LNC001703)". The record is from RNAcentral. Lineage: Eukaryota; Viridiplantae; Streptophyta; Magnoliopsida; Fabales; Fabaceae.